Molecule: long non-coding RNA, 240 nt
Filed under: Fukomys damarensis (Damara mole-rat)
Lineage: Eukaryota; Metazoa; Chordata; Mammalia; Rodentia; Bathyergidae
Description: lncRNA (ENSFDAG00000022532.1)
Source: RNAcentral
AGGAAAUGUAGUAAACUGGAUCUGUUUCUCAUCUUGCCAUCAUUCAGAUUUGGUCUAACCAUGUAUUUUCUGUGAACUUCAAAUGAAACCAAUGUUUAGAAUAACUCCGUAUGAUACAUAGAACAAAGUAAGAUCUCAGCCCAGCAGUUUUGUUCUGAGGCUCUUUUAAAUUUGCCUUCGAAGAGAAGCUUCGUUCUCCGCGCUCAAAAUAGAGACCCGUCCCCAGCCGCACCCACCCAC